UGUGGAUAAGUCAGCAGGGAGAGCAGCUUCAGCAGCUGGAGGAGGCAGAUCUCACCAAGAUUUUGGAGCAUCAGUUGCAAAAUGCCUGGAAAAGCCCAAGAUUCCAAUGUUUUGUGCCAUUCAGACCUUUUUCAGAGCUCAUCAACUGCCAAAGGGUGUGAAAAACACUGAGGGAGAAGACGUACGACUACAAAUCAGUUCCUGCAGAUCCACUCCUUGACUGGCUGCUGAAAGGCUUCAUAAAUUCUACACAUCUGACCCCAGAGGAGAAAUCUGUUCAUGUGAACCUCAGCUGUGUGACAGAAGAAAACACUAAGGAUUUUGGAGUCGAGGUGGAGGGUGAUACUGAAGAGAAGAGAUUUUCACUUCACCUUUACACCAGUUGUGAUAACAACCUGCUGUGCACAUCAGAAUUUCUGUCAAAAUGAGGAACAACGCAAGCAACAACUGGUUGGAGAACACUGGUCACUUUGAUGGCAUCUUUCCUCAGACUGGACCACAAGUCUGGAUGCAGAGCCGUUCCAGUGGGAGCAGGACGAGGAUUACACUGAAGGAAUACAUGUUCAAUCACUUCCAUCUCUGAAAUGGUCAUCUCCAUUAACAAAAUAAUAAUAAAAAAAUCUGACAAACA
This is a long non-coding RNA of Thalassophryne amazonica, 631 nucleotides long. RefSeq lists it as uncharacterized. The record is from RefSeq and is a predicted model, not a curated record. NCBI's taxonomy places the organism in Eukaryota, Metazoa, Chordata, Actinopteri, Batrachoidiformes, Batrachoididae. The transcript has 3 exons.